GUCCGCAGCUGUAUCCCAUCUAGACUUUUAUAAAGAUCCUCCCCCUUCCAUGGAAUCUCCCGCCAAACACGCUCAAACAGGCGAAAGUAGCACGUGGAGUGAAAUAUAACGCGAGUCUCCGACUCAGAACUGCCCUACAGUUGUAGCGGAGCUGAGAGUUCGCGGGAAAGUGCUGCUGACGGCGCACGGAAAGGGAAGAGGAGGAUCGUUCGACGUCAUUUGCAUGUGGACCAAUAGGAAGCUCUGUGUAUCAUUUUACGGUA
RNAcentral lists this long non-coding RNA (263 nucleotides) under Danio rerio (zebrafish). RNAcentral describes it as "si:ch1073-436f10.3 (ENSDARG00000103616.2)". Lineage: Eukaryota; Metazoa; Chordata; Actinopteri; Cypriniformes; Danionidae. The record is from RNAcentral.